RNAcentral lists this ribosomal RNA (275 nucleotides) under Enterobacter cloacae. RNAcentral describes it as "partial 16S ribosomal RNA". It matches the Rfam family "Bacterial small subunit ribosomal RNA", at positions 781 to 1054 of the family's 1533-position model. The record is from RNAcentral. Lineage: Bacteria; Pseudomonadati; Pseudomonadota; Gammaproteobacteria; Enterobacterales; Enterobacteriaceae.
GAUACCCUGGUAGUCCACGCCCUAAACGAUGUCAACUAGUUGUUGGGGAUUCAUUUCCUUAGUAACGUAGCUAACGCGUGAAGUUGACCGCCUGGGGAGUACGGUCGCAAGAUUAAAACUCAAAGGAAUUGACGGGGACCCGCACAAGCGGUGUAUGAUGUGGAUUAAUUCGAUGCAACUCGAAAAACCUUACCUACCCUUGACAUGGUCGGAAUCCUGCUGAGAGGUGGGAGUGCUCGAAAGAGAACCGGCGCACAGGUGCUGCAUGGCUGUCG